UGAGGAAUUUUGGACAAUGGGGGCAACCCUGAUCCAGCGACGCCGCGUGAAGGAUGAAGGUCUUCGGAUUGUAAACUUCUUUUGUUUGGGACUAAGAAACCUAGGGAAACUUAGGGAGUGAACGACCAGAUGAAUAAGCCACGGCUAACUUCGUGCCAGCAGCCGCGGUAAUACGAAGGUGGCAAGCGUUACUCGGAAUUACUAGGCGUAAAGGGCAGGUAGGUGGUCUGAUAAGUCUGUUGUGAAAGCUCCCGGCUUAACUGGGAGAGGUCAAUGGGUACUGUCAGGCUUGAGUAUGGGAGAGGGUACUGGAAUUCCUGGUGUAGCGGUGAAAUGCGCAGAUAUCAGGAGGAACACCGAUGGCGAAAGCAGGUACCUGGACCAUUACUGACACUCAGCUGCGAAAGCUAGGGGAGCAAACAGG
RNAcentral lists this ribosomal RNA (424 nucleotides) under uncultured bacterium. RNAcentral describes it as "bacterial SSU rRNA". It matches the Rfam family "Bacterial small subunit ribosomal RNA", at positions 355 to 776 of the family's 1533-position model. The record is from RNAcentral.